CCUACGGGUGGCAGCAGUGAGGAAUAUUGGUCAAUGGCCGAGAGUCUGAACCAGCCAAGUAGCGUGAAGGAAGACUGCCCUAUGGGUUGUAAACCUCUUUUGUAUGGGAAUAAAGCAAGGUAUGCAUACCUCCUUGUGUGUACCCGAAGAAUAAGGAUCGGCUAACUCCGUGCCAGCAGCCGCGGUAAUACGGAGGAUUCGAGCGUUAUCCGGAUUUAUUGGGUUUAAAGGGUGCGUAGGCGGAUUGUUAAGUCAGUUGGGAAAGUUUGCGGCUCAACCGUAUAAUUGCAGUUGAAACUGGCAGUCGUGAGUACAGUAGAGGUGUGCGGAAUGCGUGGUGUAGCGGUGAAAUGCUUAGAUAUCACGAAGAACUCCGAUUGCGAAGGCAGCUCACUGGACUGCAACUGACACUGAUGCACGAAAGUGUGGGUAUCAAACAGGAUUAGAUACCCUGGUAGUC
This 460-nucleotide ribosomal RNA is filed under the name uncultured bacterium. Its description in RNAcentral is "partial 16S ribosomal RNA". It matches the Rfam family "Bacterial small subunit ribosomal RNA", at positions 338 to 795 of the family's 1533-position model. The record is from RNAcentral.